CUAAAAUUUAUCUGCUUUUAUGCAUAGCACGAUCUGAUGCUCAGAAAUCUUUGUUUCUGCCGAUAUUCUCUACAUAUGUUUUGAAUCGCUGGUGCUGUCUGUAUUUAUGCUGCAUUUGUUGCUGUCAUCUGUUUCAUUUUGUGGGUUAAGAAAAAAUGAAAGCAGAUCUAUUGAAGAUAUCUUUUUUAAGUACAUCGGCUUUCUAUGGUGUGCUUUCUGAGAGGCAUUUGUGUAGCAUGUCUGCAUUUACUUUGUUAUUUUCAACGCACAUGCUCACGACAUGGCUGCAACAGCCUGACAGUAUGUUCCUAAGAUUGUUGUUGCUGAAGAGAUGAUUGCAUGUGAAGAACUGCUACAGAUCAGAUGGCAACCUUUGAUCAGGUUUUCACCUUAUGAUCUCUUGGAGUGAUCUUACCAUUCUAUGGCAACCUUUGAUCAGUCAAUGGAGAUUGACCAUGAUGAUGGCUGCAUAUGAGUGAAGAAGACAAAUGCUCUGGAUGAUGCCAAUAUGUACAAGGAUACAGGGGUGGGUCUAUCAAAUUCCUGCUAUGCAUCUCUGAUACUGGUUAAGAAGCAAAGUGCCAUGGUUAUCAUCACUGUUUUGGAGGAUAUAGACUCUAUGCCUCUCCAUCCCUUGGGCUUCUUUGAGUGCCGAAGUGUUUCAUGCUGAAUGGUACUUGGUAAAUGGAGCACGGUGCUGGAGGGAACAGAGGCGGCUGGACGAGGCAGCGGCGCGAUGGGUUUGGGCUGGUGCAGGGAAGGGGGGCUGUCGUGCGUGCGGGAAAAGGUGGUGUUGGUCAUCGCGGGAGCUCGGAUAGCGAUGGCGGUCGGACAACAGAGUGGCCCCUUCUCAGUGGAGGAUCUUCUCUUCUCCGUCCUUGACUUCCUGGCGAUGUGGUUUGCCGGGUGAACAGAGGCGUCUAAACAAGGCAGCGGCGCGAUGGGGCUGGGCCGGUGCGGGGAAGCGAGGUUGCCAUGCGUGUGGGGAAAGGAGGUGCAGGUCAUUGCAGACUCAUCUCUUCCUGCCCACUUCAUCUCAACCAGGCAGCAUGACCAGCAGCGACGUGCCGCUGCCGCCGAAGUGGUUAGGGGUCCGAAGCUGCUCGCCGAGCCCUGCCACCGCAGGUGUUCUGCCAGAGCGCCGCAACUCCCUGCCUCAACAAGGAGGCGUAGCAUU
Molecule: non-coding RNA, 1177 nt
Organism: Lolium perenne
Lineage: Eukaryota; Viridiplantae; Streptophyta; Magnoliopsida; Poales; Poaceae
Source: RefSeq, a predicted model, not a curated record